RNAcentral lists this ribosomal RNA (395 nucleotides) under uncultured soil bacterium. RNAcentral describes it as "bacterial SSU rRNA". It matches the Rfam family "Bacterial small subunit ribosomal RNA", at positions 26 to 407 of the family's 1533-position model. The record is from RNAcentral.
AGAGUGAACGCUGGCGGUAGGCCUAACACAUGCAAGUCGAACGGCAGCACAGUAGGAGCUUGCUCUUACGGGUGGCGAGUGGCGGACGGGUGAGGAAUACAUCGGAAUCUACCUUUUGGUGGGGGAUAACGUAGGGAAACUUACGCUAAUACCGCAUACGCCCUUCGGGGGAAAGCCGGGGACCAGCAAUGGCCUGGCGCUGAUAGAUGAGCCGAUGUCGGAUUAGCUAGUUGGUGAGGUAAUGGCUCACCAAGGCGACGAUCCGUAGCUGGUCUGAGAGGAUGAUCAGCCACACUGGAACUGAGACACGGUCCAGACUCCUACGGGAGCAGCAGGUAGGGAAUAGUUGGAACAAGUGGGCGACAGCCUGACUCCGAGCCAUACCGGCGUAGGGU